This is a long non-coding RNA of Coffea eugenioides, 498 nucleotides long. RefSeq lists it as uncharacterized. Lineage: Eukaryota; Viridiplantae; Streptophyta; Magnoliopsida; Gentianales; Rubiaceae. The transcript is spliced from 2 exons. The record is from RefSeq and is a predicted model, not a curated record.
GCUCGGUGAAUCGGUGGACACUCCUUGCAUUGCCUUCUCUCUCUCUCUCUCUCUUCCUUGCUCUCAUUUUCAAUCAUUGCUCUCUUCUAAUUAUCCCUCUCUCCCCUUCUCUUCCAAAUACCGGACCAACUUCUCCCUUUCACUUGCUUACACCUUGCGGCACAAAUCAGGAAUCAAGUAAAUUCUCGACAAGUUGAAACAUGCUAACGAAAGGAAAAUGGAAGGAAGGGACUCACUUUGGUAUCUCUGAACAGGUUUAUAUCAAUCAGUUUGCGUUACAAUUGUCAAAGGUUAAAGGAAUUUAGCUUCUUAGAUUCCAGUUAAGAAGAAAGACUUUGGGUAGUGGACGUCGAUGUUAGUGCUGAACCACUAUAAAUUUUCUUUUUAAUUUUACUGCAUCUUAUUUAUAGUUUGUUUCUAUUAACUUAUCUACUUUUAGCUUUAUAAUUGUUUGGUUGAGUUGGGACAGGUUAAUCUGUCCAAAGAAUUACUAAUUUA